UCAUUCCAAAACCUAAAAAACUUAACAUUUCUUCUCUCUCAAAUCCACCAGCACAGUCUUAACUUUUCUGGCAAUAAUUGAUGAUAGUUGGAUGGGCGUUUGACGGCAGUUUCAUCUCCGACAUCACCUGUCUGUAUUUCCAACACUUAGACGGCAGUUGGAUGGGCGAUUGACAGCAGCUUCAUCUCCUAAAUCAAGUUUUUUUUUUUGUUUCACUAAGAUUAGACCAUCAUUUGAAUGUAAUUGAGUGUAUACUUUAUGAUAGAUGAGUAUUAUGGUUAAUUUACUAUGAAUUUUGAAAAGAAUUAAACGAGAUUAUGAUUUGAGAAAAAUGGCAUAUGAGAUGUUUGUUGAAGUGCCUAUUAGACUUCAUUAUCUUAUUUGUGAUAGAUUGUGUUGUGGGUUUAUUGUGGCUUGCUAUGAAUUCGUGUUCAACAAAGCAGAGCAAGUGAUUUUAGUGCAAUGAGUGUUGCUUUGAUUUAGUGUGACGGAAGCCUAGAGCACAGGCGACCUGCACCCUUCUCAUGAAAUCACAACAAGUAUGUUAAUGUAAUUUUAAGUGACAAGCACUUGUUUUCAGGGCGAUAACGCCCACCACUCAAAAUCAAAGCAAGCGUAUUGCUAUGAUUUUGAGCAACAUGCACUAUCUCCCAAGCCAUAGGUGCCUAUUGCACAAAAUCACAACAAACAUAUUAAUGUAAUUUUGACUGACAGACACCUGUCUCCCAGGCGACAAGCACUUGUUGCUCAAAAUCAAAGUAAGCAUGUUGCUAUGCUUUGCCAAGCACGGAUUCGCCCACGACAUAAU
RNAcentral lists this long non-coding RNA (808 nucleotides) under Citrus x clementina. Its description in RNAcentral is "Citrus clementina (C. clementina) long non-coding RNA (CCLE_LNC005529)". Lineage: Eukaryota; Viridiplantae; Streptophyta; Magnoliopsida; Sapindales; Rutaceae. The record is from RNAcentral.